AGUGAACGCUGGCGGUAGGCCUAACACAUGCAAGUCGAACGGCAGCACAGUAAGAGCUUGCUCUUACGGGUGGCGAGUGGCGGACGGGUGAGGAAUACAUCGGAAUCUACUUUUUCGUGGGGGAUAACGUAGGGAAACUUACGCUAAUACCGCAUACGACCUACGGGUGAAAGCAGGGGAUCUUCGGACCUUGCGCGAUUGAAUGAGCCGAUGUCGGAUUGGCUAGUUGGCGGGGUAAAGGCCCACCAAGGCGACGAUCCGUAGCUGGUCUGAGAGGAUGAUCAGCCACACUGGAACUGAGACACGGUCCAGACUCCUACGGGAGGCAGCAGUGGGGAAUAUUGGACAAUGGGCGCAAGCCUGAUCCAGCCAUACCGCGUGGGUGAAGAAGGCCUUCGGGUUGUAAAGCCCUUUUGUUGGGAAAGAAAGGCAGCAGGUUAAUACCCCGCUGUUCUGACGGUACCCAAAGAAUAAGCACCGGCUAACUUCGUG
This 492-nucleotide ribosomal RNA is filed under the name uncultured bacterium. RNAcentral describes it as "partial 16S ribosomal RNA". It matches the Rfam family "Bacterial small subunit ribosomal RNA", at positions 29 to 507 of the family's 1533-position model. The record is from RNAcentral.